GACGAGCGCUGGCGGCGUGCCUAAUACAUGCAAGUAGAACGCACAGUUUAUACCGUAGCUUGCUACACCAUAAACUGUGAGUUGCGAACGGGUGAGUAACGCGUAGGUAACCUGCCUGGUAGCGGGGGAUAACUAUUGGAAACGAUAGCUAAUACCGCAUAAUAUUGAUUAUUGCAUGAUAAUUGAUUGAAAGAUGCUAUUGCAUCACUACCAGAUGGACCUGCGUUGUAUUAGCUAGUAGGUGAGGUAACGGCUCACCUAGGCGACGAUACAUAGCCGACCUGAGAGGGUGAUCGGCCACACUGGGACUGAGACACGGCCCAGACUCCUACGGGAGGCAGCAGUAGGGAAUCUUCGGCAAUGGACGAAAGUCUGACCGAGCAACGCCGCGUGAGUGAAGAAGGUUUUCGGAUCGUAAAGCUCUGUUGUAAGAGAAGAACGGGUGUGAGAGUGGAAAGUUCACACUGUGACGGUAUCUUACCAGAAAGGGACGGCUAACUACGUG
RNAcentral lists this ribosomal RNA (505 nucleotides) under uncultured bacterium. Its description in RNAcentral is "partial 16S ribosomal RNA". It matches the Rfam family "Bacterial small subunit ribosomal RNA", at positions 28 to 507 of the family's 1533-position model. The record is from RNAcentral.